GUCCAGAUGGGCUUGAUCCAACCUAGGCCUAAAAAAUGAACAAAACAAAAACCAAAUAAAAUCUAUCUAUAAAUUCAAGACAGAGAAAUAUCUAGAAUCCUAAAAGGGGAAAAAGUUAAUUCUCCGUCUUCAUCUACCAUUUCGAAGCUCAAAUCGAUCGUCUCUUAUUUUCUAAUGAUGGAACUAAGAUGGAGAAGGCCAAAAUACAUUCUCUAUAUCGAGGCUUUAAUCCCAAAUCUACACUUUAUCAAGUUUGAGCAGAAUGAGCAUACUAGGAAGCUGAUACCAUCGCUUGAGAUUCAACAAAUAUAGAUAUUUUUUUUUCUAUCAAUCAUUUUCCUUUUAUGUCUAAUCUUUUUUGCUGCUCUUGUACCUCUUAUACUGAUUUGUCCUUCUUUGUUGUUUUCAGGAUGAUAUUUUCCUACAUUCAUUAUCUUCCAGUAGAUUGAGCUUAAUCAAAAGCUUAUACAACUACUUGAUAUUCAGGAAAAAUAAGUACUUUAUCAUAUCAGUGAUUUUACCUCCUAAUGUUGCCUCUACUAUUGUUCUUGUUAUUGCACCUGCUUUGAUGA
Long non-coding RNA from Capsicum annuum, 572 nucleotides. RefSeq lists it as uncharacterized. The transcript has 2 exons. Lineage: Eukaryota; Viridiplantae; Streptophyta; Magnoliopsida; Solanales; Solanaceae. The record is from RefSeq and is a predicted model, not a curated record.